AUUAAAGAGUUCUAUAACUCCCAAACCCAUGUGAACAUACCUAACGUUGCCUCGGCAGGUCGCACCUACCUUGUAGCACCCUACCCUGUAGGGCCUACCCGGGAGGUGCGGGUAAGCCUGCCGGCGGCCCACCAAACUCUGUUUGAUAUUGAAUUCUGAACCUAUAACUAAAUAAGUUAAAACUUUCAACAACGGAUCUCUUGGUUCUGGCAUCGAUGAAGAACGCAGCGAAAUGCGAUAAGUAAUGUGAAUUGCAGAAUUCAGUGAAUCAUCGAAUCUUUGAACGCAUAUUGCGCCCAUUAGUAUUCUAGUGGGCAGGACCGUUCGAGCGUCAUUUCAACCCUUAAGCCUUCGUUGCUUAGUGUUGGGAGCCUACGGCAACGUAGCUCCUCAAAGUUAGUGGCGGAGUUGGUUCACACUCUAGACGUAGUAAUUUUUUAUCUCGCCUAUUAGUUGGAUUAAUCCCCUGCCGUAAAACCCCCAAUUUAUCAAGGUUGACCUCGAAUCGGUUCAGACAAACUCGCUAAAUUGAAGCAUCUUAGUCAGCGAAGGAAAAGAAACCAACAGGGAUUGCCCUAGUAACGGCGAGUGA
Molecule: ribosomal RNA, 592 nt
Filed under: fungal endophyte
Lineage: Eukaryota; Fungi
Description: eukaryotic LSU rRNA
Rfam family: 5.8S ribosomal RNA (bases 181-334)
Source: RNAcentral